RNAcentral lists this long non-coding RNA (3044 nucleotides) under Canis lupus familiaris (dog). Its description in RNAcentral is "lncRNA (ENSCAFG00845019144.1)". Lineage: Eukaryota; Metazoa; Chordata; Mammalia; Carnivora; Canidae. The record is from RNAcentral.
CAUUUCAUAAUAUUCAAACAGAAAGAUAGUGAGAAAUACUAAAUUGUACUACGAUAUGGGAGUAUGACAGCAAUCAGAAGUAGUAGGAUGACAUUAAGAUUCAGUCACUCAAGGAGGGGACUUAAUCUAUAAUUAUCUAUUUUAACAAGCUGGUACUAAAUAAUCUGAAAGUGGCGUUCUUUGCAGUAUAUUUUAAAAGAAUAUUACCCACAAGUGUACUCCACAGAGCAGCUGCAUUAGCAUCGCCCGUAGCUUGUGAGAAAUGUAAAUUUGUGGCCCCUACCUCAAACCCGGAUCAAUCUCGGAUAAUAAGGAUCAGAAAUCUGUUUUAACAAACCAUCCAGGCCAUUAUCUGUGCUAAAGCUCACGACUCUGUUUGAAGAAAUGCAGGAGAAUUACACAUAAAAUAAUUUCCCUUUAGGUUCACAGAUCUGUGUUCCUUAUGUCUGUUCAGGAUAUACAGUCUCCGAACUGAGGUUUGAUUAGGAAAUUUGAAUUUUUUUUUUCGCAUUCACUUGAAUCCCCAAAACAGUUUUAGCCACGUUUUGCAUUUUAGAAAGAUCACUUAAAUAUGAUAAUCAGAUUAGUAGAUUGAAUCUACCACUCAGCUUUUUAAAGUACUUUAAAAGGGGGCAAACACUCAAAUUAUGACAGCAUAAGACAGAGCUGAUGUGGGAAUGAGACAAGAAGCAAGACUUGAUUUGCUGGAAGUUAGGCUAACGAAGUUGGCAUCACUAUGAAGGACUGGAUGUGGUGGUGGCAGUAGCCAGCAGCGAGAGCUGGUUUCAUCAGGUCUGUAAUUCUCUGCUCACCCUCCCCACCCCAGUCAAAUACUUAAUUUCCUAAUAUAUGAGGAAAACUUACAGCCAAUUGGGAGAACAGGAGAAUCGAUCAUCUUUGAUGUUACCAAUCCUCACAAACAUCUCACUGUUCUCUACAGUCUCAACUCCCAUCUCUGAAAGCCCAGUCCCCAAUCUCCUGCUUUUUCUCCCCUUUUCCCCUGGAUCUUUUUUUUUUUUUUUUCAAUUUCAAAGACCCAGAUUUAUUUUUAAAAAUGAAAUUCCUUUGCUUGGCUUGUCCCUUCUCAUCCUUUUCCUGGAAAAUUAUGCUGUCUUUACUCUUGUUAUCAAUUUCAUUCUUAAUCUUUUAAAAAUUUUAAAGGGGCGCCUGGGUGGCUCAGUUGGUUAAGCAUCGGACUCUUGAUUUUGGCUCAGGUCAUGAUCUCAGGAUCCAGGAUCCAGCCCCGCAUAAGUCUGUGCCCUUGGUUAUUCUCUCCCUCUCCCUCUCCCUCUUCCUUCUUUUUUCCCUCUUCCCUCUCCCUCUCUCCCAGAGAGAGAAUGAGAGGGAGUGUGCACACUUGCUCAGGAGGAGGAUCAGAGGGAGAGAGCUCAAGCAUGCUCCCUGCUGAGCACGAUGCCCUUCCUGGGACUUGAUCCCAUGACCCUGAGGUCAUGACCUGAGCCGAAAUCAAUAUUUGGAGACUGAGUCACCCAGGCAUCCUUUAUCUUUUAGAAUUUGAUGUCAUACAAUUCAUGAAUCUCUAGAUUGAAAAGAAUGAUUAUGCCUGGUUAUGCUUCAAAUUCCCCAAAUAAAGACAUUAAAUAGACACAUAUCUCACAAUCAAAAAUUGUCUACUGAUGAUGAGGGAACCUAAUCCCUACCCAGCAAUGUUCUUCAUCUCUAGACAGUGCUGUCCAUUCUCUAGAUUGAUUUAAAAAUCUAUUUCCCUAUCCGAGGAUACCAGCAUGGAGAAUAAUUAUGACAUAGAGCCAAUGUAGACAUAAACCUGUACUAUUUCUUCUUGCUAAUAAUUUUAGGAUCAUUUAGGACAAACUAAUAUUUUGAUAAUCUAUGAUAGAAGCUCUGUCCUAUCUUUUCUACCUCGAUAUCAGUAACCUGUGAGAGGUCCUGCCGUUUGCAGUUGAAUGAGUUCAGUAUCCUUCCACUUUUUGAUUUGACCCUAGGUUUUAAGUGUUGUCUGGGUGUUUAAGAAGCCUGAAGUCAUCAAGAUAAAACCUAACCUCAAAAAUUGGAAGCCAAGUAACCUGCGGAGAAGGAAUACACAGAAAAUUUUGAUUGAUUUGGUUAGGGCAUAAUUAGGGCAUGGUGCAUAGGCUAGAUUUUUCUGGUUUUCAAAAAUUGAAUUUUGUGUGUGUGUGCUAUUUCAAUUUUCAUCAGCACUCCUGGUUCUAAACACUGAGAUAGAGUCCAUCUAUUCCCUCCCCCACAUGACAGCUCUUUUAUAUAUUUCCAGGGAACUCUUCUGUCCCUGAUGACUUUUUUGUUUUUAUACCUUAAUCCCUUCUUCCUUCAAUGGCUAUUUAAGAGGUAUGGUCUGUAUUUUAAAGUAUGGUACCCAUAACUGCAUGUGAUACUUCUAAUCCAUUUAGGUCUUAUUAGCACAGUUGGGAUAUCUCCUCCCUUGUAAUUAAUAUGUUAAGAGCUAUUUUUAGUAGUCACAUGACAUUGCUGAGUUGAUAUUUAACUAAAAUGAGCUAAAAAUCCUGUCUUUUCUAACUAUGCUGUUUUGCCUUAUCUCUCCUUUUUCACAAAGUUGAGUUGGGUUUUUGGCUCAUAUAUGACACUAUGCCUUAAUCCCUCUUAAUUUUUCUAAAUUCAUUCCUAGUUCCAGCCACUCAGGAUAGUUUUGAUUCCUAAAUCUGGAGUCUCUCAGCUCCUCAUCCACAAAUUUACAAAGUUGCCUUUUGUAAUUUCAUCUAAGUUACUAAUUAAAAUGUCGAAUGGUACUGGGCCAAGGAAAAGUAUGCAAAAAGCCACAGGCCUCCUCCCUUCAACUUGACAAAGAUUAACUAAUUGUCACUAUUUAGGUACAACCAUGCACCUACUCACUAAUGAAUAUAACUGAAAUAUUUUUAAAGUGUUAACAGAUUAUCAUAAAAGACUAUAUAAUCUACAAAUUUAACCAAAAUAUCUCUAUUUCCAGGUCAGUUUUUAAAGCAUUGGUUUAUUAUUUCAUCUAAAAUGUGUGUUUCAACGUAAGCACAGUUUUGUUGGGGGCUUGGGUUACGGUACAUUAAAAUAUU